GAUGAACGCUGGCGGCGUGCCUAAUACAUGCAAGUCGAGCGAACGGACGAGAAGUUUGCUUCGCGGAUGUUAGCGGCGGACGGGUGUGUAACACGUGGAUAACCUACUUAUAUGUCGGGGAUAACUUCGGGAAACGGGAUCUAAUACGGUAGAAUAUUUGGUACGUCUUGGUGCAGAAGUGAAAGACGGUGUGGCUGUAGCUUGUAGACGGAUCCGCGGUGCAUUGGCUAGUUGGUAAGGUAACGGCUUACCAAGGCAACGAUGGAUAGCCGACGUGAGAGGGUGAUGCGCCACACUGGAACUGAGACACGGUACAGAGUCCUAGGGGAGGCAGCGGUAGGGAAUCUUCCGCAAUGGGCGGAAGCCUGACGGAGCAACGCCGCGUGAGUGCUGAAGGUCUUCGGAUCGUAAAACUCUGUUAUUAGGGAAGAACAUAUGCGUAAGUAACUGUGCACAUCUUGACGGUACCUGAUCAGAAAGCCCCGGCUAACUACGUG
Molecule: ribosomal RNA, 497 nt
Filed under: uncultured bacterium
Lineage: Bacteria
Description: partial 16S ribosomal RNA
Rfam family: Bacterial small subunit ribosomal RNA
Source: RNAcentral